Molecule: ribosomal RNA, 460 nt
Filed under: uncultured bacterium
Lineage: Bacteria
Description: partial 16S ribosomal RNA
Rfam family: Bacterial small subunit ribosomal RNA
Source: RNAcentral
CCUACGGGGGGCAGCAGUGAGGAAUAUUGGUCAAUGGACGAGAGUCUGAACCAGCCAAGUAGCGUGAAGGAUGACUGCCCUAUGGGUUGUAAACUUCUUUUAUAUGGGAAUAAAACGUUCCACGUGUGGGAUUUUGUAUGUACCAUAUGAAUAAGGAUCGGCUAACUCCGUGCCAGCAGCCGCGGUAAUACGGAGGAUCCGAGCGUUAUCCGGAUUUAUUGGGUUUAAAGGGAGCGUAGGUGGAUUGUUAAGUCAGUUGUGAAAGUUUGCGGCUCAACCGUAAAAUUGCAGUUGAAACUGGCAGUCUUGAGUACAGUAGAGGUGGGCGGAAUUCGUGGUGUAGCGGUGAAAUGCUUAGAUAUCACGAAGAACUCCGAUUGCGAAGGCAGUUCACUGGACUGCAACUGACACUGAGGCUCGAAAGUGUGGGUAUCAAACAGGAUUAGAGACCCUAGUAGUC